Molecule: ribosomal RNA, 301 nt
Filed under: Alternaria sp. BAB-3856
Lineage: Eukaryota; Fungi; Ascomycota; Dothideomycetes; Pleosporales; Pleosporaceae
Description: eukaryotic LSU rRNA
Rfam family: 5.8S ribosomal RNA (bases 1-89)
Source: RNAcentral
UGUGAAUUGCAGAAUUCAGUGAAUCAUCGAAUCUUUGAACGCACAUUGCGCCCUUUGGUAUUCCAAAGGGCAUGCCUGUUCGAGCGUCAUUUGUACCCUCAAGCUUUGCUUGGUGUUGGGCGUCUUGUCUCUAGCUUUGCUGGAGACUCGCCUUAAAGUAAUUGGCAGCCGGCCUACUGGUUUCGGAGCGCAGCACAAGUCGCACUCUCUAUCAGCAAAGGUCUAGCAUCCAUUAAGCCUUUUUUUCAACUUUUGACCUCGGAUCAGGUAGGGAUACCCGCUGAACUUAAGCAUAUCAAUA